GAGAAUUCAGGAUGUUACACAAUCUUCGUCCAACCACUUAGUGUGAACAACUCCCUGCAACUGUUUCUGAAUGUUUCUUAAAUGGCUUGUAUUGGGCGUCUAAUGCUGAAUUUGCUCAAUGCCCCAGUGUAUUUGAAUCCUGGAUUAGAGUAAUAUGGGCCAAAAGUGAAAAAGAGAUUGAUGACAACUUAAAACUGAAAAUGGAAAUCUCUUCGAAGCAACAGAAGAGGAAACUGCAAGACUGCGAGGAUAUCACUCCAGGAAUUACUUUGGGUAUUUUUCUUUAAUCAACCCAUUCACACAUACUGUGACAAGUCUGGAGCCAAUGGGAUUUGAACAUGAACCUUCUGGCCUAGAAGGAAGGAGACCAUUGCUGUGCCACAAAAGCCAAUAAGGAUAUUAGUUACUGGAGCAGCUGGCACAAAAAGUUAAGCAAAAUAGCAGGCUACGUAACCCAGACAAAGAAGAUGAUGCCAUAAUUUCAUAGACUUCAACCUGGAGAAAUCCUUGAGGAAAACUACAUCUGGAAACACAGUCUGCUGGAUGUCUGUGGCAGUAAACCUGUCAGAAAUGUCUUGUGCCACCUGGAGGCAGAAUUGCCAAAUCUUUCAUCCUAAGGACUGCAGACCAAAAGUGCAAAAAGUUCAAUGACUUUACCAGUAUUGGCAAGUUAACAUAAUGACCACUGUUUUCCCUGAGCAACAGGCUACUCCUACUUCUAAUAGGAACAGCUGUCUAAGUAAACACUAAAACAUUUUGAUUAAAGGGUCUUAUGAAUUGGAAACUUGCACUAUAUUCC
Molecule: long non-coding RNA, 799 nt
Organism: Chiloscyllium plagiosum (whitespotted bambooshark)
Lineage: Eukaryota; Metazoa; Chordata; Chondrichthyes; Orectolobiformes; Hemiscylliidae
Source: RefSeq, a predicted model, not a curated record